AGCACAGUCAGAGACCGGAACCGGACAAGUCUGGAGAAGUUCGCUUACACACUAAUUUUCAACGUAGCUGUUAGGGUUGUUGCUUUAACAUUGUUUAUUACGUUAUUUAAUUGGAAAGUGAGGACCGAGCUUUCAGAAUAAUCGAUCAAUUGGAUCCGUUUUUAACAGCUCCGUAUGAAAUGGAAGGGAAGAAACACAUCCACACAUAUGUUCGCAUAGGAUGCACGGGAUUUCACCGAAGGUCGCAUUUGGGACAAGGGAAGCCGACUAGGCUUAGUGUGGUGUCACCGAUGGCAAUGUUGGUGGGAGGAAAAAAAUAACAUUUCGGCAAUUGAUGGAGGUGUUCAGCAAUUCGAGAGAUCGUGCUCACCGCAAGCCAUGAAAAAUAGACUACGUUGUGAAGCGAUGGUCACUAUUUAUUAAAAAAUCACGGU
Long non-coding RNA from Topomyia yanbarensis, 434 nucleotides. RefSeq lists it as uncharacterized. Lineage: Eukaryota; Metazoa; Arthropoda; Insecta; Diptera; Culicidae. The transcript has 3 exons. The record is from RefSeq and is a predicted model, not a curated record.